UGACAGAUAGUGAAAUGGUUAUCACGAAGCUCUGAUACGGCUUUAUUCUGAGUUCAAAUCUCAGUCUGUCAA
This 72-nucleotide transfer RNA is filed under the name Caudoviricetes sp. RNAcentral's name for it is "tRNA-Ile". It matches the Rfam family "tRNA". Rfam says of the family: Transfer RNA (tRNA) molecules are approximately 80 nucleotides in length. Their secondary structure includes four short double-helical elements and three loops (D, anti-codon, and T loops). The record is from RNAcentral. Lineage: Duplodnaviria; Heunggongvirae; Uroviricota; Caudoviricetes.